This 433-nucleotide ribosomal RNA is filed under the name uncultured bacterium. Its description in RNAcentral is "partial 16S ribosomal RNA". It matches the Rfam family "Bacterial small subunit ribosomal RNA", at positions 29 to 507 of the family's 1533-position model. The record is from RNAcentral.
AACGAACGCUGGCGGCAUGCCUAACACAUGUAAGUCGAACGAGACCUUCGGGUCUAGUGGCGCACGGGUGCGUAACGCGUGGGAACCUGCCCUUAGGUUCGGAAUAACUCCCCGAAAGGGGUGCUAAUACCGGAUAAUUUCUUCGGACCAAAGAUUUAUCGCCUUUGGAUGGGCCCGCGUUGGAUUAGCUAGUUGGUAGGGUAAAAGCCUACCAAGGCGACGAUCCAUAGCUGGUCUGAGAGGAUGAUCAGCCACACUGGGACUGAGACACGGCCCAGACUCCUACGGGAGGCAGCAGUGGGGAAUAUUGGACAAUGAGCGAAAGCCUGAUCCAGCAAUGCCGCGUGAGUGAUGAAGGCCUUAGGGUUGUAAAGCUCUUUUACCCGGGAUGAUAAUGACAGUACCGGGAGAAUAAGCUCCGGCUAACUCCGUG